UCCGUAGGUGAACCUGCGGAAGGAUCAUUAUUGAA
RNAcentral lists this ribosomal RNA (35 nucleotides) under Termitomyces sp. Type A. Its description in RNAcentral is "partial 18S ribosomal RNA". The record is from RNAcentral. Lineage: Eukaryota; Fungi; Basidiomycota; Agaricomycetes; Agaricales; Lyophyllaceae. RNAcentral also lists the same sequence under 4 other names.